ACGGAAGGCAGUAGUGGGGAAUAUUGCACAAUGGGGGAAACCCUGAUGCAGCAACGCCGCGUGAGUGAAGAAGUAUUUCGGUAUGUAAAGCUCUAUCAGCAGGGAAGAUAAUGACGGUACCUGACUAAGAAGCACCGGCUAAAUACGUGCCAGCAGCCGCGGUAAUACGUAUGGUGCAAGCGUUAUCCGGAUUUACUGGGUGUAAAGGGUGCGUAGGUGGCAUGGUAAGUCAGAUGUGAAAUACCGGGGCUCAACCCCGGGGCUGCAUUUGAAACUGCCAGGCUGGAGUACAGGAGAGGCAAGCGGAAUUCCUAGUGUAGCGGUGAAAUGCGUAGAUAUUAGGAGGAACAUCGGUGGCGAAGGCGGCUUACUGGGCUUUUACUGACGCUGAGGCUCGAAAGCGUGGGGAGCAAACAGGAUUAGAUACCCUGGUA
RNAcentral lists this ribosomal RNA (434 nucleotides) under uncultured Lachnospiraceae bacterium. RNAcentral's name for it is "partial 16S ribosomal RNA". It matches the Rfam family "Bacterial small subunit ribosomal RNA", at positions 341 to 792 of the family's 1533-position model. Lineage: Bacteria; Bacillati; Bacillota; Clostridia; Lachnospirales; Lachnospiraceae. The record is from RNAcentral.